Molecule: long non-coding RNA, 2853 nt
Filed under: Homo sapiens (human)
Lineage: Eukaryota; Metazoa; Chordata; Mammalia; Primates; Hominidae
Description: HSALNT0308154
Source: RNAcentral
GCCCGAUAGGGGCCAGAGCCGGGCGACUGCGGCCGGGCGCACCCGCCACCUGCCCGCGGACUGCGGCGCAGCGGUCCCAGGAAGUGCGGCGGCGGCGGCGGCCUCCACUCAGCUCUGUUGUGACAGGGAGGGAGACUUGUUUUGACAGCCCUUGGGGAUUGGCAGGCGUCUGGGCCUCUUAGGAGCCUCGCCUCGCCGAGGGGGCUCGGCCCGACCAAUCCUCACUGCGGAGGGGUGUGCCCGAGCGCGAAGAAUGGAAUGUGUUCUGCAACUGGGAGCCGGCCCAGCGGGGCUAAUGUACUCGAGCCAGGGUGUACCCGCGCGCGCGCGUGUGCAAACCCGGAGGCGCUCCGUGUAUAUUUUAGGAAGUUUAGAUUUGCGAAAUGAGCCUGAGAUGCAACAAAAAUCCAGGUUGGGUGAAGGAGAGGGGAGAAAGAAACCUUCUUCUGCCAAACAAAGCAAUUUGGAGGAAAGUGGGUAUUGAGUAUGAAUGUCUAAGCGUUUGGGGUGACGGGGUGAAGCUUUGCGUGGUCACAGGUUAAUUGCAGGCUCUCAGGCCAAUUCUUAGAAGUCAAGUCCAUGCAGAGAUAAACUAGGGUUUACUGGGAUCUUGGGGUUCCAUAAUUUGCUUCAGGUUCCAGGAAAGGAUUCUAAGGUCAUUCUGCAGUGUGAGUAAAUAUAACAAGGAAAGGGAGUCAGUGAAAGAGAUGAGGGUGAAAGGAAACUGAACCAACUAAAUCCCUCCGAAGACUGACUCUUAAAAAGCACAGAUAUAAUCCAAGUCAGAUAAAUGCAGGUGGGGAGUUUAGUCUCUAUCCUAAAACAUUCCUAUUUGACAAUGGUUCAGCCUCCUUUCUCUAUAUAAUCCUAUAUAAAAACAUAUUUUGCUCAUUUCCAGUAAGCUAGCAACCAAGAAGGGAGAGAUCUUUGGAUGAUGAGUUAAGUCACUGAAAUUAUCCACAGAAUGCUCAGAUGCAAACCAUGGUCCUAAGGCUCCCUGAAUGCCAUCUCCAUGUGCCUAAAGACCUUGCGAUUUUAUUCAUUGCUGUAUCUCCAGCUCCCAGAACUAUGUCUGGAACAGAGUCUCCUAAUAAGUUAAAGGACGCAUUGCACGUAAUCAAAGAAGAGGACAUACAGCAUUUUCAAGGUUGAGAAAUCUCUACUGUCUGCAGGAGAGCAGAAUGCCUGGGCCUCUAUCCAUUAACACCAUUCCCACAGGAAUUACCCCAUGAAGACCCUGGGGCUAAGGCACUAUCAGGAGCUCCAGGCCAAUCAUCUGGCAGUAGUCUGUAUUGUGCAUGGCAAAGGUCUUUUAAAAAUAGACAGUGUUGAUUUAUUUUCUAUGUAUUAACUUACUUUGACGUGGAUCCUGGAGUUGGAGCUCAUGUCACGGUUUUUUCCCCCACUGAUGCAGAAGCCAGAGGCACUUAGGAAAAGUACCACUGAAAUGGCACAAAUAAGGCCCCCAUAAAAACUUGAUUCUCUGUUUUAUUUGACAACCGAAUCUUUUCCAGGUACAACGUUAUGACAGAAAUCUUUUCAAACCAGAUAUACACCCAAUGCCUGACAUUUUCAAUGCAGAAGUGAAUAUACAGUAGGUUCCUCCUCCCCUCGAGCCCCCAAAUCCCAGGUACAUUCCUCAAAUCUAAAUCACCUACACGAUGUUGGGGUUUUUAAUCCUCCAACUUAUACCAAGGUAUGAAGUUUAUUAAUGCUUUUUAGUGUCACAGGGCCCAUUGGAAGAAACUGCAGAGUCAUAUUUCCUUUUCUAAUGCACUUCUUUUCUCCACUCAUAAUGUGUAAGACUCUUACACCUAUUUUAUAGACUUUAUUGAUAUGCCUUUGUUCUAGUCUACCUUAAACCUUUCGGGAGGAAGAAGCAGAGUGCAAUAUUUGAAUAAAUAUAAAAUCAUAAUGCAUGUUUUACAUUAAAAUAUAGGACAAAAGUAAAGUAUAGUUUGUUUUGUAAGCCCUUUUUUUCCGAGUUAGUUUUCAGGUAUAUAGCUCUUUUGUUAAGCAUGAUACGAAGUUUGUCUGCUUUACAAAAUGAGGAGUUAGAAAAAGUGAAUCCUUCCUUUUAAAAAAAAAAACAAACAAACAAACAAACAAAAAAAAGCCAAAUGCCUCAUGAAAGCUGGCUUGCCAGCGUUUGCUCUGUCAUUAACCCCUGUGAGAAUCACGCAGUUCCCACUCUCAUUAAGUCAUAUAGGUCACCAUGGAUACAACUGCCUCUACUCAGCCCACAGUACGGGAGCAACAGCUGUUGAACCACACUUGGGACUUUUGCCAUUCACUGUUCUGUAUAAAUUGUACUGGUGAAACAUUUCAGAUAAUGUUACAAUUGUUUUUGAAAUUUUAAGUAUGUUGUAGGAAACAUCUGAAAUAUUAGACAACAGUAAAGGACUGAAAUUUAAUUUAACUUGUGAAAUAGAAUAACAAGUAAGAAGCACCGUACAUUUUGUGUAAUAAGAUGUUGCGGCACUUUCUUCAAAUUUUCUCCUAACCAAAAUGAAAUUUUAAUAACUAAACUGAUAGCUGCAGAUAAAAUCUACUUGGAAGAUUCUUUGACAAGCAAAUACUUAACUCUGGGCAAAAACCACAAAACAGUACUAUUUUAUACUAUAAUUUAUAAAGGAAGGAAUAUGUUUUCUGAUUUGUGAUGAUCAUUAUAUUUCUCAUCAAUAAGCUACUGUGAAUUCUAAAAUUCAGAAAAGUAAAAUAUGUAGUUAAAAUUUUACCCUUCUGCCUACCAUAAUUUUUCUAUAUUCAGGAUAUGGAUUAAAGAGAUUUUACUUUGUUUUAUGAAAAUGUGAUGAGAUGGUCUGUGAUCUGUGAUUGAAACAAAAAAAAAUC